CACAAUGGGCGAAAGCCUGAUGCAGCGACGCCGCGUGCGGGAUGAAGGCCUUCGGGUUGUAAACCGCUUUCAGCAGGGACGAGGCGAAAGUGACGGUACCUGCAGAAGAAGCCCCGGCUAACUACGUGCCAGCAGCCGCGGUAAUACGUAGGGGGCAAGCGUUAUCCGGAUUCAUUGGGCGUAAAGCGCGCGUAGGCUGCCCAGUAGGUCGAGAGUUAAAUCCGGGGGCUCAACCCCCGUCCGCUCCCGAUACCGCUGGGAUUCGAGUCUGGUAGGGGAAGGUGGAAUUCCCAGUGUAGCGGUGGAAUGCGCAGAUAUUGGGAAGAACACCGGUGGCGAAGGCGGCCUUCUGGGCCAUGACUGACGCUGAGGCGCGAAAGCUAGGGGAGCGAACAGGAUUAGAUACCCUGGUAGUCCUAGCCGUAAACGAUGGGCACUAGGUGUGGGGAGGCUUUACUUUCCGUGCCGACGCUAACGCAUUAAGUGCCCCGCCUGGGGAGUACGGCCGCAAGGCUAAAACUCAAAGGAAUUGACGGGGGCCCGCACAAGCAGCGGAGCAUGUGGCUUAAUUCGAA
Molecule: ribosomal RNA, 575 nt
Filed under: Atopobium sp. oral taxon 416
Lineage: Bacteria; Bacillati; Actinomycetota; Coriobacteriia; Coriobacteriales; Atopobiaceae
Description: bacterial SSU rRNA
Rfam family: Bacterial small subunit ribosomal RNA
Source: RNAcentral